CAUCAGUAUAGUCAUUCAUAACACUGACCUCACGGCUUUGGGACUCUCAUGAGAAUUCAACUUCUGCAUAGUUGGAAAUUGAGGCAUGAUGGGUUCGAUCUUUAUGUCAUUACUCCUCCGACCGCUUACAAUUUCCGGCACAACCAUCCCAUAGCUGUAUGUGUCAACCUUCUCGGAUAAUUGCCCAUGGAUUGCAUAUUCAGGUGCCAUAUAAAGAUACGGCAUGGCAACUGUGGUGCUGAGAUGGCUCCAGUCAGCUGGCAGAAACCUUGACAGACCGAAAUCUGCAAUCCUAGGCUGGAAGUCAUCACCAAGAAGUAGAUUACUGGAUUUUAUGUCUCGGUGUAUGAUGGAAAUAUGAAUUCCUCGUGCAUAUAUGCAAGACCAUGAG
Molecule: long non-coding RNA, 391 nt
Organism: Magnolia sinica
Lineage: Eukaryota; Viridiplantae; Streptophyta; Magnoliopsida; Magnoliales; Magnoliaceae
Exons: 3
Source: RefSeq, a predicted model, not a curated record